GCCCUGCUGGCUCAAUUGGUGGAGCAUGCGACUUUUAAUCUCAGCGUUGUGAGUUCAAGUCCCACGCUGGGUG
Molecule: transfer RNA, 73 nt
Filed under: Felis catus (domestic cat)
Lineage: Eukaryota; Metazoa; Chordata; Mammalia; Carnivora; Felidae
Rfam family: tRNA
About the family: Transfer RNA (tRNA) molecules are approximately 80 nucleotides in length. Their secondary structure includes four short double-helical elements and three loops (D, anti-codon, and T loops). Further hydrogen bonds mediate the characteristic L-shaped molecular structure. tRNAs have two regions of fundamental functional importance: the anti-codon, which is responsible for specific mRNA codon recognition, and the 3' end, to which the tRNAs corresponding amino acid is attached (by aminoacyl-tRNA synthetases). tRNAs cope with the degeneracy of the genetic code in two manners: having more than one tRNA (with a specific anti-codon) for a particular amino acid; and 'wobble' base-pairing, i.e. permitting non-standard base-pairing at the 3rd anti-codon position.
Source: Rfam by way of RNAcentral